CCUACGGGCGGCUGCAGUGGGGAAUAUUGCACAAUGGGCGCAAGCCUGAUGCAGCCAUGCCGCGUGUGUGAAGAAGGCCUUCGGGUUGUAAAGCACUUUCAGCGGGGAGGAAGGCGGUGAGGUUAAUAACCUCAUCGAUUGACGUUGCCCGCAGAAGAAGCACCGGCUAACUCCGUGCCAGCAGCCGCGGUAAUACGGAGGGUGCAAGCGUUAAUCGGAAUUACUGGGCGUAAAGCGCACGCAGGCGGUCUGUCAAGUCGGAUGUGAAAUCCCCGGGCUCAACCUGGGAACUGCAUUCGAAACUGGCAGGCUAGAGUCUUGUAGAGGGGGGUAGAAUUCCAGGUGUAGCGGUGAAAUGCGUAGAGAUCUGGAGGAAUACCGGUGGCGAAGGCGGCCCCCUGGACAAAGACUGACGCUCAGGUGCGAAAGCGUGGGGAGCAAACAGGAUUAGAUACCCGAGUAGUC
RNAcentral lists this ribosomal RNA (465 nucleotides) under uncultured Klebsiella sp. RNAcentral's name for it is "bacterial SSU rRNA". It matches the Rfam family "Bacterial small subunit ribosomal RNA", at positions 338 to 795 of the family's 1533-position model. Lineage: Bacteria; Pseudomonadati; Pseudomonadota; Gammaproteobacteria; Enterobacterales; Enterobacteriaceae. The record is from RNAcentral.